Molecule: long non-coding RNA, 1404 nt
Filed under: Zonotrichia albicollis (white-throated sparrow)
Lineage: Eukaryota; Metazoa; Chordata; Aves; Passeriformes; Passerellidae
Description: lncRNA (ENSZALG00000002947.1)
Rfam family: mir-30 microRNA precursor family (bases 758-833)
Source: RNAcentral
CGGUCACCUGCGGCCGGGGCGGCCCCGCUCCGCUCCGCCGGCCCCGCCGGGGCGGCCGCGGCGUCACCGGGAACGGCCGGGAAAAGCCGGAGAAACAAAGAACAUGGCGAGGGGAGGAGGAGCUUACGCCGCCUUAACCGCUGGGAAGGGCGCUCCGGGGGCGUACAAUGCCCGCCGCGGGGCGGGUUCGCUUCCCUCCGCCCCCUUUCCCCGCCCUUGUGGCCGGGCUGGCGGGGGGCUGGGGCGGAACGGGAUGGGACGGGCUGAACUGGACUGGAUUGGAGGUGGCCGUCGGGAGCGGGUCCGCUGUCUGCCGCAAGUUUCGCCCAGAGUGGGAAAGUUGGGCGGGAUCCGUCCAGAUUCCUGGAAAUCUGAGGAGCAGACUUUGGCGGACGAAGAAUGUAAUUCUUCCCAGAGGUGUGGGUACCUCUUAUGAAGGGGACUGAAGUAGGAUCAGCUGAUAUCCAAGAAGCUCAACUUCAGGACAUGCAAGAGUACUUUGGAGUGAACUGGCAGUAAGCCUUGCAGUACCAUGGUGGCAAUAAUACUGGCUGUCCUCUGGAGAUGCUGAAGCUUUGAACUUCUUUAUUAGACCCUCCAACUUGUUCACAAAGGACUUAAAACUGAUUUGGAUUCAUAUGGUCAUGGGUAUGGAUUUUUUCCUCCCAUUUCCUGACAUCUGUGUGUUUCCAGCAGUCAGUGAUGAAGUCAGUGCUAGGUCUGCUGACAUUUGGUCUGUUCUGGGGAGCUCUGAGUGACAGGUACUGUAAACAUCCUACACUCUCAGCUGUGGAAACUAAGAAAGCUGGGAGAAGGCUGUUUACUCUCCCUGCCUUGGAAAUCAUCUGGAGGGCAAGGAUGGAAUAUUCUGUUGAUUGUAUUUCUGACAGCUUGUAUUUCAUACUUUACAUUAUGGUGUCAGUAAACAAAUUCUGUCAUUACAUCACAUCAUCAAUGUCUUGUGUUCAGACCAAGGUCAGAAGGACAUUGUCAUAUUCUUCAGCUGUACUGCUGGCUUGAGGGAAGCUUAAAUAGUGCAAUAAUACACUGCAGUACUUCCAUCCUUAAGCAGUGAUUAAAAAAGACCUGUCACACUGUUUGUUUGAAGGUAGUGAUACAUAGAAGUUGCAGUGUGGACAUUCUCAAACUGACACAUCAGUAUUGUAUUUAAUCAAAAUCACCCUUAAAUGGUUGGGGCUUUUUUCUAAGAUCUACUCAAUUCUUGUUUUCUACCCAAAAGAGCUAGAAACAGAGGUUGGAAGGCAAAAAGAUUGUAGGGGAAUUAAAAUUUCAGUUUCUUUUAGAAGAAAAUCAGAGGUGUUAACAUGAACUCCAGCUCUAAAUUAAAUUAGAAUACAAAGGUCUUAUACCUCAUGUUUUCCACUUGAUGUUCCCUACCACUUG